RNAcentral lists this ribosomal RNA (200 nucleotides) under uncultured bacterium. RNAcentral's name for it is "partial 16S ribosomal RNA". It matches the Rfam family "Bacterial small subunit ribosomal RNA", at positions 29 to 259 of the family's 1533-position model. The record is from RNAcentral.
AACGAACGCUGGCGGCAGGCUUAACACAUGCAAGUCGAACGCCCCGCAAGGGAGUGGCAGACGGGUGAGUAACGCGUGGGAAUCUACCUAGUUCUACGGAACAACAGUUGGAAACGACUGCUAAUACCGUAUACGCCCUACGGGGGAAAGAUUUAUCGGAAUUAGAUGAGCCCGCGUAAGAUUAGCUAGUUGGUGAGGUA